RNAcentral lists this ribosomal RNA (388 nucleotides) under alpha proteobacterium BAL198. RNAcentral describes it as "bacterial SSU rRNA". It matches the Rfam family "Bacterial small subunit ribosomal RNA", at positions 55 to 491 of the family's 1533-position model. The record is from RNAcentral. Lineage: Bacteria; Pseudomonadati; Pseudomonadota; Alphaproteobacteria.
AUGCAAGUCGAGCGCCCCGCAAGGGGAGCGGCAGACGGGUGAGUAACACGUGGGAACGUACCCUUUUCUACGGAAUAACCCAGGGAAACUUGGACUAAUACCGUAUGUGCCCUUCGGGGGAAAGAUUUAUCGGAAAAGGAUCGGCCCGCGUUGGAUUAGCUAGUUGGUGGGGUAAAGGCCUACCAAGGCGACGAUCCAUAGCUGGUCUGAGAGGAUGAUCAGCCACAUUGGGACUGAGACACGGCCCAAACUCCUACGGGAGGCAGCAGUGGGGAAUAUUGGACAAUGGGCGCAAGCCUGAUCCAGCCAUGCCGCGUGAGUGAUGAAGGCCUUAGGGUUGUAAAGCUCUUUCACCGGAGAAGAUAAUGACGGUAUCCGGAGAAGAAGC